RNAcentral lists this ribosomal RNA (386 nucleotides) under uncultured bacterium. RNAcentral describes it as "bacterial SSU rRNA". It matches the Rfam family "Bacterial small subunit ribosomal RNA", at positions 30 to 416 of the family's 1533-position model. The record is from RNAcentral.
AUUGAACGCUGGCGGCAUGCCUUACACAUGCAAGUCGAACGGCAGCACGGGAGCAAUCCUGGUGGCGAGUGGCGAACGGGUGAGUAAUAUAUCGGAACGUGCCCAGUCGUGGGGAUAACGUAGCGAAAGCUACGCUAAUACCGCAUACGAUCUAUGGAUGAAAGCGGGGGAUCGCAAGACCUCGCGCGAUUGGAGCGGCCGAUAUCAGAUUAGGUAGUUGGUGAGGUAAAGGCUCACCAAGCCGACGAUCUGUAGCUGGUCUGAGAGGACGACCAGCCACACUGGGACUGAGACACGGCCCAGACUCCUACGGGAGGCAGCAGUGGGGAAUUUUUGGACAAUGGGCGCAAGCCUGAUCCAGCAAUGCCGCGUGCAGGAUGAAGGCC